GUGGCGCACGGGUGAGUAACACGUAGGUAAUCUACCUUUGGAUUGGGAAUAUCACCGAGAAAUCGGUGCUAAUACCGAAUAAUGCAGCGGCACCGAAUGGUGACAGUUGUUAAAGCGGGGGAUCGCAAGACCUCGCGUCUAAAGAGGAGCCUGCGGCGGAUUAGCUAGUUGGUAAGGUAACGGCUUACCAAGGCGAUGAUCCGUAGCCGGCCUGAGAGGGCGGUCGGUCACACUGACACUGACAUACGGGUCAGACUCCUACGGGAGGCAGCAGUCGGGAAUUUUGGGCAAUGGGCGAAAGCCUGACCCAGCAACGCCGCGUGAAGGAUGAAAUCCCUCGGGAUGUAAACUUCGCAAGAACGGGAAGAAUAAGUCGGUGCUAACACCAUCGGCGAUGACGGUACUGUUUGUAAGCUCCGGCUAACUCCGUGCCAGCAGCCGCGGUAAUACGGGGGGAGCAAGCGUUGUUCGGAUUUACUGGGCGUAAAGGGCGCGU
RNAcentral lists this ribosomal RNA (496 nucleotides) under uncultured Acidobacteriaceae bacterium. Its description in RNAcentral is "bacterial SSU rRNA". It matches the Rfam family "Bacterial small subunit ribosomal RNA", at positions 95 to 572 of the family's 1533-position model. The record is from RNAcentral. Lineage: Bacteria; Pseudomonadati; Acidobacteriota; Terriglobia; Terriglobales; Acidobacteriaceae.